This is a non-coding RNA of Oryctolagus cuniculus (rabbit), 814 nucleotides long. Lineage: Eukaryota; Metazoa; Chordata; Mammalia; Lagomorpha; Leporidae. The record is from RefSeq and is a predicted model, not a curated record.
AGAGACAGCCGGUGACUGUAUCCUAGCCUACACUCAUAUUCCACUCGCUCCCCCACAUUAUAGGAGGAUUUAAUGUCACCCUUGGGCCUCAUACUUUGAAAUCUUGGUGGCUCACCACAGGUGUUAGAGGAGGUAGAUGGCAGGAACACCAGGGUCAGCAGGAGAAUCCCGAGAACCCACGGGGAAGCAGAGGGACCCUGGCAGUGGUGAGGUGGUGCCUUGGGCGGUGCGGAAGAAGCUGCCAUUUUCCUGGAGAAAGGCGGAAAACCUGAGGGCCAAUCAAGUACUUGGCCAGUACAAUGGGAGUGCUUUGUGAGUGCGCUGAUCAGACGCAACAAUCCCCACACUUGCCAAGUGUCAAGGGUCAAAUGACAGGUGGGCGUGGCCUAGGUGACUCAGGUUAGCAUGUUUUAGGUGUUGGUUUAAGUUGUCAGCAUUAAGGUAGCGCUGAUAGAUUUGGGUCUCUUGACUAAAAGUAAUAACUUUCUGUGCACAAGAAUAUCCCUGUCCAGUAUUUACAGGUUUUUUCUUAAACAUCAAUGCCCAGAAUCUUCCAGUUUUUUUUUUUUUUUUCAUGAGCAAGGAGUCAUUUGAAACGUCCCAGGAUGCCCAAAUUAACAGAAAAAAAUGAGAUAAGAAAAUAACAGAAGGCUCUAACAGAUGUUUCUAUCGUGAAUGCUUUGACCUGCCUGAAGAGCACCAGCUAACACGACUCCCCUUGAAUGGAGUACGUCUCAUAACCCUCAAUAAGGAGAGAAAACCUGAGAAGCUUUUACAGCUGCGCCUGCCUUUGCCUGUGAAUAUGGCUUCUGCU